GGAAGGAUCAUUAACAAACAAACACAUGUGCGUCAGCACAUGUGCCAGCGAAUGUGCGAGAGCACAUGAGCACAGACCCUGUUGAAACCACCUUUCCCCUUUUUUUUACUGGAGGGGAGCGAAAACACAGAUAUGAUACAUGAUACAUGAGAUGCAAUGUGAACAACUUUUAACAAUGGAUCUCUUGGCUCUUGCAACGAUGAAGAACGCAGCGAAAUGCGAAACGUAUUGUGAACUGCCCUCUUUGAGAAUCAACGAAUUUUUGAACGCACCUUGCACCUGGGGGCAUGCGCCCGCAGGUAUACUUGUUUGAGCAUCGAACGUCGUCGAGCGCCAGCGAAAGUGAGCGCGAGAAAGUGAUUGUUGGGGAGAAGCGUCGACCCGUCAAUUGAAAGGCAUGGAGGAUGAGCGAGGGCGGGCGUGGAAAUAGAGUCACAUCUGACACGCCUUGCUGGUUGAUCACCCACAAGUACAUGACACAUGUGUAUGUGUGCAUGUGUGCACGAUCUCAAAUCAAGUAGGAAGACCCGCUGAACUUAAGCAUAUCAGUAAGCGGAGGAAAAGAAACUAACCAGGAUUCCCCCAGUAACGGCGAGUGAAGCGGGAAGAGCUCAAAUUUAGAAUUGGACAGCCAGUAUGGGUGUCCGAGUUGUAUUUGAAAGAGCGUCCUUUUGUUGGGGUAGGCCGUGUAGGUUCUCUGGAAGGAGACAUCAUAGAGGGUGAGAAUCCCGUGAUGCGGGCUAGCCUGGCAGUGAGAGGGGCGGUCGACGAGUCGGGUUGUUUGGGAAUGCAGCCCCAAAUGGGAGGUACAUUUCUUCUAAAGCUAAAUAGCGGCAAGAGACCGAUAGCGAACAAGUACCGUGAGGGAAAGAUGAAAAGAACUUUGAAAAGAGAGUUAAAGAGUGCGUGAAAUUGUUAAAAGGGAAACGAUCGAGACCAGUGGGGCGAUGGUUGCGACAAGGCAAGCUGUGGCGAGCCGUCAGCGCAAGCGUUGCCGGUGGGCGGGCGUGGGGAAGCGCGGAGAAGACGCGGGGCAAGGUGGCGCACGUUCGCGUGUCGCACUAUAGGCCCCGUGGGAUACGCGUGUCUCCAUGUUGAGAUCGAGCGCCGAGUCCAUGUCGUGUCACAUGAUAUGAUAUUGACUCGGUGCUCGAUGCGCACAAAAUGGACUUGAACGACCCGUCUUGAAACACGGACCAAGGAGUCUAACAAUUAUGCGAGUAUUCGAGGGACAGACUUGAAUGCGGAAAGAAACUGAAUUGUGGGACCCAUCGCACUUUUGUGGUAGGUGGAGCACCAUGGGCCGGUUCUGGGUUAGCCAGGAUUGCGCUAGAGCAUAGCUGUUGGGACCCGAAAGAUGGUGAACUAUGCCUGAAUAGGGUGAAGCCAGAGGAAACUCUGGUGGAGGCUCGUAGCGAUUCUGACGUGCAAAUCGAUCGUGGAAUUUGGGUAUAGGGGCGAAAGACUAAUCGAACCAUCUAGUAGCUGGUUCCCUC
This 1496-nucleotide unclassified non-coding RNA is filed under the name uncultured fungus. RNAcentral's name for it is "sequence contains 18S rRNA gene, ITS1, 5.8S rRNA gene, ITS2, 28S rRNA gene". The stretch from base 504 to 1496 matches the Rfam family "Eukaryotic large subunit ribosomal RNA", at positions 1 to 961 of the family's 3401-position model. The record is from RNAcentral. Lineage: Eukaryota; Fungi.